AUAUUAAUACUAGAUCCAGAAUCUAGCAUAGUUCUUCCUAUAUCCACAUCAUUAAUAACACAUGGAAGAGUCAAACUCCCUAGAUCCUUCAUCUUGAGCGAAUGCUUUCUCUUUUUAGGUCGGAUACAGACUUCCUGUUCUUCUUCAUCAAGAUCUAUCACCUCUCCAAGAUAAUACUUUAUUCUCUUGGAGUAAAUAGGAAUCUGCUGAAUCAUUGAAGGUACAAUAGUCACUUGAUUGAAAAUGUCUUUAAACUGUCCAUUGUGACCAUCUUUUCUCUCUUCCUCUUCUUCUCCCUCACUACUUUCCAACUCAAUAAGCUAUUUUUCUUCUUCCUCCUCCUCACUACUAUCAAUUUCCAUAACUUCCUCUUCUGCUCUCCUUUUGCUCCUAGUUACAGCAGCUUUGCAUCCUUCUUUAGGGUUAACAUCUGUAUUAGCCCUAAAUUGGUUUUUCUCUGUGUUUUCAACCCUCUUUGACAAUUGCCCAAUCUGCAUCUCCAAAGUUCUUAAAUUGUCCUGGUUACUCACAUAGUGAGAGUCAU
Molecule: long non-coding RNA, 544 nt
Filed under: Vigna radiata
Lineage: Eukaryota; Viridiplantae; Streptophyta; Magnoliopsida; Fabales; Fabaceae
Description: long non-coding RNA (VRAD_LNC008680)
Source: RNAcentral